CCCACCCUGUUGCCAUCCCCAGUGGAAGAGCGGUGUUAGUGGAGGAAGAAAGUCAAGUGGGGGAGAGAGGUGCACUAGUGGAGGAAGAAGAAAAGGCACCGAUGGAAGUGGAGAAAGAAAAUGUGCUAAUGGAGAUGGAAGAAGAAGAUGAAGGAAGAAUAUAAGGUAAAUGAAUCAUUUCACAACUUUAUUGGGUGGAAGAAGCUACCUUAAGAACAUUUGAAAUCCCAAGGUUUAAUAUAUUUUCUUUCCAAAAGAUCAAACGGGUAUUUUUUUUUUUCUCCAUUCUUAAUCGUAUGUCUAGACAAUUUGAGUACAGGAACCUUAUUAUUUGCCUAGGCGAAGGAAAUACCACUUUUUUUUAUUAUUAGUCUUAUUAUACAAAUGGGGUUAUUGGACAGAUUUUGUUGGACAAAUAUUAUCUGUCCUACACCUUUAUUGGACAGAUUUGUCCUGUCAACUAUUUUGUGUUGGUUUCUUGGGUAUGUUUUGCAUUUAACGAUUACCAAGAUUAAUCUAACUUUGAUUACAAUAAUAGCACUCAAAGCACCAAUGAUCAUGAAUCAAAGUUCUUUCCCUUGGCUAUCUGUUAUUGUGUUUUUUCAACCAUACAUAUUUGUGUUUCAAAACGUUAAUAAAUACUAAAGUUAUAUGCAUGUACCUUGUUAAACAGUCCAGCAAAAUAUCAAAGUAAAAUUCCUUUGCUGUUUAUGAUGAUACUAUAGUCUGAAUAGAUUUGGCAUUCAAAUAUUUAAUUUGAUAGAAUAGGGCUUGAAGGAUCAAAUCUGUGGCCUUGAUCCCCUUUAUAAUGGCACAAAAUAGGAUGCAAGCCAUUAUAAUGCAUGUUCCCUUACAUUCAAAACGAAAUGAAUGCAUUAAACUAUCAACUACACAGAAAGCAAGCAAGUAACUAACCUAAGCUUGGAAGGUGAAGUUGCAUUACCUUAGUUGACUUGUGGUGAAGGGAAAAAACGUUUUGCCAGCCAUUGGAAGGGUCUCAACAGUUGAGCUCUUUUCUUGCGCCAGAACCAAAUGGCAGCAUUGUAUUGUUCAUUGCGAACUAUUCGUGUGGCUUCCUUCCAAUCAUACUUCUCCAUCUCUUCACGUGCAGCUUUUGCCAUGGUUUCCCUCAACACGUUGUUGUGCAAAAGUGGCCUUAGUUUACUCAAGCAAUCUUCAAGAUCUCCAGGAUUAUACAAAUAGCUAGUUUUUCCAUCUUGAUCUGCAGGGAUUAUAUCAGGAAUACCUCCAGCACGUGCUGCCACCACAGGUAUCCCUGAAGACAUGGCCUCCAAAACCACAAAACCAAGUGUCUCUGACUCUGAAGGCAUGACAAACACAUCUCCACUAGCAUAUGCUUGGGACAGUUCUUCCCCUCUUAGCGUUCCAGUGAACACUGCAGGCAUACCUUUAAACAUUUUCUCUAGCUCCUCCCUGGUAGUUAACUCAUAUUACUAGAACUUGCCAAAGUCUUUAUUUAUGUUUAACAUUGCUUUAUCUAUGGAGUUAGAGGAGUAUAAUAUAUAUAAUAGAAGCACGACAUGUGGACUAAAGGCACCAGAAAGCACCAGACGGUUUUUUUUAAAAGAAGGGGUGUCAUUGUCAGAACUAGUCACCUGUAUGGUCCAUCACCAAUGAAAGCGAUUCGGGCUUCAGGAAGCCUAUCCAUGAGCCUGCCAAAAGCAAUGAGUGCCCUUUUAGCUCUGGUAAAUCAAUAACCAACAAUGAGCAGUUUUUGCUGCCCUUCCAGUUUUAUAUUCUGAAUUUUUAAGAUUGACUGGAAAUCUUGAAUGCAAAUACUUAUCUAAGCUAUGAAAACCUCAUAAUGAUGUUCACUACCUUUUGAGAAAAUCUAAACUCUUCUCUACUCCAAGCCGUCCAACAUGAACUAUCAAGGGUUUCUCAGGUUCACCAUCGCUGUAUGAUAAUGUUUAAGGAUAAGAUGAAAUGCCAUCAUUACCAAAACCUGAACACAAGUAAAAAGAAAAAAGGAUAGUCCAAACCUUAGUCUUAAUCGCAUUUCAUAUGAGCAGUAUCGGGGAUGGAAUUUUUCAGAAUCAACACCCUUGUUCCAAAGACGAAUCUUGUUAGCUGGAUUCCAAGAAGGGAACAACUCCGUCAAAAUUUUGCAGCAUAAUGGUAAACAUGACAAGAAAGAAUAUUUUCAGAUGCUAUUACCAACUAAGAACAGUUAAAAGACUAGAUGAGAAGAUUUUAUGUUCACCUGCUGUGACUCUCGCUGCUAGGAGAUCCCCUGCUAUGGCAGCAGAUGGAACCAGAGUCAGAUCAGCUGCUCUGUGAAGAAAUUCUACAUCAACAAAAAAGAUUAAUGUUAUAUAUUUACCAAUAUUUGAGUCCGAAUUAAGAAGAAUAAAAAAGAAAGUAUGCAUACUUAUGAUCAACCACAUGGGUUUUACCAACCAGCUAAAGGUAUAUCUUGGAAUAUACCUGAAAACUAAACAAGAUCAGCCAUAAGUAAUACAUGAUUUAAGAAAUUCUGGCAUCGUAGGAUCAUAUCAUAUCAGAAUUAAUAUAAGCGGAAGUGACAUGUGAUAAGUGUAAUAACUUGUUUUAUCAUGCACUGAACCUCUUUAUGUGUAUUCAUGCUAUGAACUCUUCGCAUUUUGGUAUUAAAAGUCAUAUUUAAACAUUUUCUUUGUUAUAGAAGUGAUUGUUACUGCGUGUUUUAUAGAGAAAUGGAAGCUUGAAACCAUGGAAUAUUGUAGUCAACUCUGGCCCCUCUCCAAACGAACAAAAGCCUCGCCCAACAAGAGUGUAGACAUGUUCGCUGGGCUAAUCCAACUUUCUGCAUUGAUACCAAAGUAGACUCUUGCCCAGCAAAAGUCUACCUUUUGGAAGUGAACUAAAAAGUGAAAACUUAACGUGUUGCAAUAUACUUUUGGAGGGAGAACACAAAAAACACCUUAGGGAGCUGCUGCACGAGAGAAAAUGCCUAGCAGGGACUUCCAAAGCUCAUCAUUCUCUUUGCCAAUUUUUUGUACACAUAAUGGCUUAGAGUAGCCAACUCCCCCCCUUUCAUUAAGGUUGUAUGUGAUGAAUCUCUUCUAUGUAU
RNAcentral lists this long non-coding RNA (3073 nucleotides) under Vigna radiata. RNAcentral describes it as "long non-coding RNA (VRAD_LNC007865)". The record is from RNAcentral. Lineage: Eukaryota; Viridiplantae; Streptophyta; Magnoliopsida; Fabales; Fabaceae.